This 420-nucleotide ribosomal RNA is filed under the name Fusobacteriota bacterium. RNAcentral's name for it is "Fusobacteria bacterium partial 16S ribosomal RNA". It matches the Rfam family "Bacterial small subunit ribosomal RNA", at positions 355 to 776 of the family's 1533-position model. The record is from RNAcentral. Lineage: Bacteria; Fusobacteriati; Fusobacteriota.
UGGGGGAUAUUGCACAAUGGGCGAAAGCCUGAUGAAGCGACGCCGCGUGGGGGAUGAAGGCCUUCGGGUUGUAAACUUCUUUUGCUCUGAACAAGGCAUGCCUUUGGGGUGUGUUGAGUGUAGGGGUUGAUUAGCGCCGGCUAACUACGUGCCAGCAGCCGCGGUAAUACGUAGGGCGCGAGCGUUGUCCGGAAUUAUUGGGCGUAAAGGGCUUGUAGGUGGCUGGUUGCGUCUGUCGUGAAAGCUCAUGGCUUAACUGUGGGUUUGCGGUGGGUACGGGCUGGCUUGAGUGCAGUAGGGGAGGCUGGAAUUCCUGGUGUAGCGGUGGAAUGCGCAGAUAUCAGGAGGAAUACCGGUGGCGAAGGCGGGUCUCUGGGCUGUUACUGACGCUGAGGAGCGAAAGCGUGGGGAGCGAACAGG